CUGAAAGUGACAUAGAAUGGAAGGAAUCUUGAUUUAUAAAGUAUCACUUCAAGCAACGUCACUCAAUGACCGGCAACAUUCCUUUUGGACUUUACCUGGCUUUUAGCUAAACUUGGAGAAAGUGACAAUGCUGUUUCAUGCCCCACAAAGAAAAAAAACCUUGAUCUCUGGCAUGAAGAGUCCAUUGAAACAAGGUAUUGAGACAUCAGAUAUUUAGGAUGAAGGUUUCGUGAGGAACCAGGUACUUGAGGACAAUGAUAGCUGCCUAAAUCUACCACACCACAAUGCAGAAGACUGCACAAGGGAAGAACCUUGAGAACCACAUAAAACUCAGGCUCUGCUGCAAGCCUUUCUUGCAGGCAAAGGCAGUCUAAUAAACAUUUUUUAAAAAUCUUGCAUAGAAGAGAGAAGAAGGGAGUGAGCAGCAGAUCUAAAAUCUUUCUGAAACCACCACUAGGAUGAUAAAGUUAUCCUAACUGUGAAAAUACGGAAAAAAAGUGCAUUACUGCAUCACAGUGCUGAUUACAGGGAAGAGACUUAUAAUACAUGUGCUUUGAAGUGGCAGUCUUCAAAAGGUACAGCUUCUGAGAGAAAAAGAUGAAAAACUAAGAGGGAGGCACUGCAGUGACUGGGUGGUAAAAAAUAAAAGAAGUGGAAGGAAAAGUUACAGUCUUACAAGGCAAAGGGUAACAUGAAAGUCAGAGGGUACAUAACCACUUCCUGCAUCAACAGAAAUCUCAUCCCUGAAAAAAUGUAGACUGUUGCUAUACAGACAGAGGAGGAUGACAAGCCAUUAAACUAGAAAUCUUGUAAACCACCACUCAUAUGCAAAACGAAUAGUAUUGAGAGGUGAAGCUAGCAGGGCUUCUUGGUCGAGUGUGGACUUGGAGAACUUUUCUGUCUAGCUAGAGGAUUGUAAACGCACCAAUCAGCACUCUGCAUC
Molecule: long non-coding RNA, 943 nt
Filed under: Homo sapiens (human)
Lineage: Eukaryota; Metazoa; Chordata; Mammalia; Primates; Hominidae
Description: HSALNT0344177
Source: RNAcentral